UGAGGAACAUGACCUUCGGCGGGGGAGUAGCCGGCCCAACGGCCGGGUAAUACCGCGUACGACCACAUGGGGACAUCCCUGAGUGGUGAAAGCAGCAAUGCGCCGAUGGAGUGCCUCGCGGCCUAUCAGCUAGUUGGUGAGGUAACGGCUCACCAAGGCGACGAUGGGUAGCUGGUCUGAGAGGAUGGCCAGCCACAUUGGGACUGAGACACGGCCCAGAUCCCGUAACGGGG
RNAcentral lists this ribosomal RNA (233 nucleotides) under uncultured bacterium. RNAcentral's name for it is "partial 16S ribosomal RNA". It matches the Rfam family "Bacterial small subunit ribosomal RNA", at positions 118 to 346 of the family's 1533-position model. The record is from RNAcentral.